This 842-nucleotide ribosomal RNA is filed under the name Bacillus tequilensis. RNAcentral describes it as "bacterial SSU rRNA". It matches the Rfam family "Bacterial small subunit ribosomal RNA", at positions 88 to 914 of the family's 1533-position model. The record is from RNAcentral. Lineage: Bacteria; Bacillati; Bacillota; Bacilli; Caryophanales; Bacillaceae.
GAUGUUAGCGGCGGACGGGUGAGUAACACGUGGGUAACCUGCCUGUAAGACUGGGAUAACUCCGGGAAACCGGGGCUAAUACCGGAUGGUUGUUUGAACCGCAUGGUUCAAACAUAAAAGGUGGCUUCGGCUACCACUUACAGAUGGACCCGCGGCGCAUUAGCUAGUUGGUGAGGUAAUGGCUCACCAAGGCAACGAUGCGUAGCCGACCUGAGAGGGUGAUCGGCCACACUGGGACUGAGACACGGCCCAGACUCCUACGGGAGGCAGCAGUAGGGAAUCUUCCGCAAUGGACGAAAGUCUGACGGAGCAACGCCGCGUGAGUGAUGAAGGUUUUCGGAUCGUAAAGCUCUGUUGUUAGGGAAGAACAAGUACCGUUCGAAUAGGGCGGUACCUUGACGGUACCUAACCAGAAAGCCACGGCUAACUACGUGCCAGCAGCCGCGGUAAUACGUAGGUGGCAAGCGUUGUCCGGAAUUAUUGGGCGUAAAGGGCUCGCAGGCGGUUUCUUAAGUCUGAUGUGAAAGCCCCCGGCUCAACCGGGGAGGGUCAUUGGAAACUGGGGAACUUGAGUGCAGAAGAGGAGAGUGGAAUUCCACGUGUAGCGGUGAAAUGCGUAGAGAUGUGGAGGAACACCAGUGGCGAAGGCGACUCUCUGGUCUGUAACUGACGCUGAGGAGCGAAAGCGUGGGGAGCGAACAGGAUUAGAUACCCUGGUAGUCCACGCCGUAAACGAUGAGUGCUAAGUGUUAGGGGGUUUCCGCCCCUUAGUGCUGCAGCUAACGCAUUAAGCACUCCGCCUGGGGAGUACGGUCGCAAGACUGAAACUCAAAGGAAUUGAC